This 292-nucleotide ribosomal RNA is filed under the name uncultured Acidobacteriota bacterium. RNAcentral's name for it is "uncultured Acidobacteria bacterium partial 16S ribosomal RNA". Lineage: Bacteria; Pseudomonadati; Acidobacteriota. The record is from RNAcentral.
GGACUACCGGGGUAUCUAAUCCUGUUUGCUACCCACGCUUUCGUGCAUCAGCGUCAGUAAUGGUCCAGAAAGCCGUUUACACCACCGGUGUUCCUCCAGAUAUCUACGCAUUUCACCGCUACACCUGGAAUUCCACUUUCCUCUCCCACACUCUAGCCCCUCAGUAUUCGGCGCACCCUCCCAGUUGAGCCGGGAGAUUUCACACCAAACUUAAGAAGCCGCCUACGCACCCUUUACGCCCAGUAACUCCGAACAACGCUUGCUGCCUACGUAUUACCGCGGCUGCUGGCAC